CUGGAGUAAGCAAUGUAAUACACAGAAAUUAUUAUCCCAACAUAGUUCGUUAAACUCCUCCGUCCAAACUAAUUAAAAAGAAAAAUUAAUAAAUAAAUAAUUUAUCAAUUAUAUAAAAACUGUUAAAUUUUAAAACCAACAAUAUUCUUUCACUUUUAUAAUAAUUUAACUAUCACGUUUAAUUUGUAAAUAUGUACAUUUCUAAUGUGUAUCUAUAAUUAAUAAAAUAAUGUUAUUAGCAUGAUAUUAGUUACUUACUUGAAUAACUUAUCCAAAUUACACGAAGGUAUAAAACUAAUUUAUUGUACUAUAUAUGUCUUCCUCUAAAUUAACAUAACUAUAAUUCUUAUGUCCAGAUUAUACUGCAUGAAGAAUAUAAAAAAAAAUUAUAACUAUAGUCACAAUCUCUAUUAGAACAAAAGCCAUAAUGUAUUGUGCCUUUACUGAAGCAUGAGAUAGCCCACGAAAUAUAUUUAUAAUAAUUAUUAGUUUUCAUAUGGAUGCAAAAUACCUUCCUGCAGAAAGUAUUAGGAAUCUAACUUUUUAUAAUAUUAUUAAACAUACAACACCCUAACCAUCUAACUUUUAAAUUAUAACCAAAAUAAUCUUUAUUUAAAUACAAAAAGUUAGCAUACUAUGUAAUUCAAUGAUCUAAUUCAUACCUUUGUCUCAUCUGUUUUUGUUGACGUCGCUUCUCUCUUUCUCUUUCUCUCUGUUUGUAUAGAUAUAAUGAAGUAAUUAGGUUUAGCUAUUUCUUAAUUAGGUUGCCUCAAUAAACUUCUAAUUGGGUUAAAUUAAUAUUAAGUCCCAAAUUUUAACCACAUAAUAUUAUCGAUCACUUAGUAAUAUCUAUUAGCCCACACAAUUUAAAUGACUACUUUGACCUAAUUUAAAGCCAAAAAUUCAAACAAUAUAUUUAAAAUACAAACAUAAAUAAUUUUAUUUUUUUCGGGUAUUACAAUAUAAUUUUUGCAAAAGAAAAUUAGAUUGCUUCCGUGCAUCCACCACAGCCAAUGUGGUCCUAUCAAUUUCAUUAUCAUCUACCACAAGGGCAUCCUCAUUUAAAAUCCUUUUAAAGAUUCAAUGUAGUAAGAUAAAACAACAUGUUCUGUUGCCAUCUUUUAAAAUCAAUCCCACUGAAUUUUUCAGGUUUUUCACCAUGACUAACAUGGGUAGGAACAUUCAUAGGAACAUUGGUUGUAAUAGAGUUAGGCACAAUUGAAUUAGAUAAUUUUAUAAUUCUGUUAAAUACACAAUUUACAGAAUCACUUUAAUAAAAUAGAAACAAUCGAAUGAGAAAAACAAAAACUAAAUUUGUAAUUACAAUAAAGUAAAUCUGUUUUAAAUAUUAUUAAUGUUAUUUUUAUUUUAUUUUUAUAAAUCUGAAAAAAAAAAUUCUGUAAUGAAACUAAACAGAACUAUAAUAUUCUGUUUUAUAUAUAUUAAUAUAGAAUAAGAACUAAGAAAGUUCUGUUAAAAGAACUAUAAUAUUCUAUUUUAUAUAAUAAUAUAGUACAAGUACUACGGAAUUAAUAUAGAUAUAUUAAUAUAGAAUAAGUACUACGAUAGUUCUAUUUUAUAAAUUAGUAUAGACGGAGUACUCAGAAAUAACACAGAAAAUCUGCUUUAAGAUUGUUAUUCCUUUGUAUUAUAUACUAAUUAAAUAAACAGAAGUAGAAGAUAAACAAUUUUAUAAUAAUGACUUACUAGAUGCAAUUGACAAACUUUUAAAACAAAGUCAACUGUCGGGCAGUCUCUCCUUAAAGCAGAUUUCGUCCCCGCUAUCGGUGCUUACAGAUGGAAUAUUAGAUGUCUACUUCCCAGGAUAAAAUGAUCUUCAAUUCUCACAAGAAGUACUUCAAUGGAAGAGUUCCAUGAACUAACAAAAAUUUGAAUACUAUCUAUGACUUUUAAUGAAUGAAGAAUGAAUUUAGUUUUAAGAACUUGAGAAGGAUUGAAGUUAAAGUGAUUGAUUUGGGUAGAUUUGGAACCUAUUUAUAGGUUUCCAAACACCCCUAUGAAGAUAUACAUCCAUUUGAAAAGGUUACAUCCCUUUAAAAAGAUACAUCCCUUUAAAAAAGUAAAUCACUUUGAAAAGGUACAUCCUUUUGAAAAGGUUACAUCCCUUUAAAAAAAUACCUUUUCAAUUUAAAAAGAUAUGAACCAAAGGUCACACCCAGUGUUUUAUUUUUAAAAAAUAUUCUC
This 2205-nucleotide long non-coding RNA is filed under the name Panax ginseng (ginseng). RNAcentral describes it as "long non-coding RNA (PGIN_LNC012564)". Lineage: Eukaryota; Viridiplantae; Streptophyta; Magnoliopsida; Apiales; Araliaceae. The record is from RNAcentral.